CAGCCGCCGCGGGAAUACGAAGGGGGCUAGCGUUGUUCGGAUUUACUGGGCGUAAAGGGCGCGUAGGCGGGCUUCUCAGUCAGGGGUGAAAUCCCAAGGCUCAACCUUGGAACUGCCUUUGAUACUGGAAGUCUUGAGUUCGAGAGAGGUAAGUGGAACUGCGAGUGUAGAGGUGAAAUUCGUAGAUAUUCGGAAGAACACCAGUGGCGAAGGCGACUGACUGGACAAGUAUUGACGCUGAGGUGCGAAAGGGUGGGGAGCAAACAGGAUUAGAUACCCCCGUAGUCCCUGUCUCUUAUAC
This 301-nucleotide ribosomal RNA is filed under the name uncultured bacterium. RNAcentral's name for it is "partial 16S ribosomal RNA". It matches the Rfam family "Bacterial small subunit ribosomal RNA", at positions 509 to 807 of the family's 1533-position model. The record is from RNAcentral.